RNAcentral lists this ribosomal RNA (412 nucleotides) under Doratosepion pardex. RNAcentral's name for it is "partial 12S rRNA". The record is from RNAcentral. Lineage: Eukaryota; Metazoa; Mollusca; Cephalopoda; Sepiida; Sepiidae.
CUAUUAUUCUUUAUUUUAAAAAUUUUUAUAUAUUUAAGUAGUGUGGAUGAAUAUUUAGUAUUUAAAAUUAUAUUUGAAACUUAAAAAGCUUGGCGGUGUUAUAUAUCCAUUUAGGGGAGCUUGUUUAUUAAUUUGAUAAUCCUCAAUAAACUCUUACUUUUUCUUGAAUGUUAACAGUUUGUAUAUUGCUGUCAUCAGUUUAUUUCGUAAGAAUUAGGAUUAAAAAACUUAAAAGCUUAUAUGCUUGAAUGUCAAGUCAAAAUGCAGCUUAUGGAAAAGGUUUAAAAUUAUACAAAUGAGCUACAAUUUAUUAAUUUAAUUGGAUUAGAUUUUGUAAAAAAUUUAUAAAUUUGGACUUAAUAGUAAUAUAAAAUAAUUAGUAUGUUUAUAUGAAUAAGGUUUUAUAACGCGU